AUUGAACGCUGGCGGCAGGCUUAACACAUGCAAGUCGAACGAUGAUUAUCUAGCUUGCUAGAUAUGAUUAGUGGCGGACGGGUGAGUAACAUUUAGGAAUCUGCCUAGUAGUGGGGGAUAGCUCGGGGAAACUCGAAUUAAUACCGCAUACGACCUACGGGUGAAAGGGGGCGCAAGCUCUUGCUAUUAGAUGAGCCUAAAUCAGAUUAGCUAGUUGGUGGGGUAAAGGCCCACCAAGGCGACGAUCUGUAACUGGUCUGAGAGGAUGAUCAGUCACACCGGAACUGAGACACGGUCCGGACUCCUACGGGAGGCAGCAGUGGGGAAUAUUGGACAAUGGGGGCAACCCUGAUCCAGCCAUGCCGCGUGUGUGAAGAAGGCCUUUUGGUUGUAAAGCACUUUAAGCAGGGAGGAGAGGCUAAUGGUUAAUACCCAUUAGAUUAGACGUUACCUGCAGAAUAAGCACCGGCUAACUCUGUGCCAGCAGCCGCGGUAAUACAGAGGGUGCGAGCGUUAAUCGGAAUUACUGGGCGUAAAGCGAGUGUAGGUGGCUCAUUAAGUCACAUGUGAAAUCCCCGGGCUUAACCUGGGAACUGCAUGUGAUACUGGUGGUGCUAGAAUAUGUGAGAGGGAAGUAGAAUUCCAGGUGUAGCGGUGAAAUGCGUAGAGAUCUGGAGGAAUACCGAUGGCGAAGGCAGCUUCCUGGCAUAAUAUUGACACUGAGAUUCGAAAGCGUGGGUAGCAAACAGGAUUAGAUACCCUGGUAGUCCACGCCGUAAACGAUGUCUACUAGCCGUUGGGGUCCUUGAGACUUUAGUGGCGCAGUUAACGCGAUAAGUAGACCGCCUGGGGAGUACGGCCGCAAGGUUAAAACUCAAAUGAAUUGACGGGGGCCCGCACAAGCGGUGGAGCAUGUGGUUUAAUUCGAUGCAACGCGAAGAACCUUACCUGGUCUUGACAUAGUGAGAAUCCUGCAGAGAUGCGGGAGUGCCUUCGGGAAUUCACAUACAGGUGCUGCAUGGCUGUCGUCAGCUCGUGUCGUGAGAUGUUGGGUUAAGUCCCGCAACGAGCGCAACCCUUUUCCUUAUUUGCCAGCGGGUUAAGCCGGGAACUUUAAGGAUACUGCCAGUGACAAACUGGAGGAAGGCGGGGACGACGUCAAGUCAUCAUGGCCCUUACGACCAGGGCUACACACGUGCUACAAUGGUAGGUACAGAGGGUUGCUACACAGCGAUGUGAUGCUAAUCUCAAAAAGCCUAUCGUAGUCCGGAUUGGAGUCUGCAACUCGACUCCAUGAAGUCGGAAUCGCUAGUAAUCGCGGAUCAGAAUGCCGCGGUGAAUACGUUCCCGGGCCU
This 1355-nucleotide ribosomal RNA is filed under the name uncultured bacterium. RNAcentral describes it as "bacterial SSU rRNA". It matches the Rfam family "Bacterial small subunit ribosomal RNA", at positions 28 to 1381 of the family's 1533-position model. The record is from RNAcentral.